AUUAAAUGAUGGGGUGCAAGCUCUUGAUUGAAGUCCCGGUAAACGGCGGCCGUAACUAUAACGGUCCUAAGGUAGCGAAAUUCCUUGUCGGGUAAGUUCCGACCUGCACGAAUGGCGUAACGAUGGCCACACUGUCUCCUCCCGAGACUCAGCGAAGUUGAAGUGUUUGUGAUGAUGCAAUCUACCCGCGGCUAGACGGAAAGACCCCAUGAACCUUUACUGUAGCUUUGCAUUGGACUUUGAACCGAUCUGUGUAGGAUAGGUGGGAGGCUAUGAAACCGGAACGCUAGUUUCGGUGGAGCCGUCCUUGAAAUACCACCCUGGUUUGUUUGAGGUUCUAACCUUGGCCCGUGAUCCGGGUCGGGGACAGUGCAUGGUAGGCAGUUUGACUGGGGCGGUCUCCUCCCAAAGCGUAACGGAGGAGUACGAAGGUACGCUAGGUACGGUCGGAAAUCGUGCUGAUAGUGCAAUGGCAUAAGCGUGCUUAACUGCGAGACCGACAAGUCGAGCAGGUGCGAAAGCAGGUCAUAGUGAUCCGGUGGUUCUGUAUGGAAGGGCCAUCGCUCAACGGAUAAAAGGUACUCUGGGGAUAACAGGCUGAUACCGCCCAAGAGUUCAUAUCGACGGCGGUGUUUGGCACCUCGAUGUCGGCUCAUCUCAUCCUGGGGCUGUAGCCGGUCCCAAGGGUAUGGCUGUUCGCCAUUUAAAGAGGUACGUGAGCUGGGUUUAAAACGUCGUGAGACAGUUUGGUCCCUAUCUGCCGUGGGCGUUGGAAGUUUGAAGGGGGCUGCUCCUAGUACGAGAGGACCGGAGUGGACGAACCUCUGGUGUACCGGUUGUGACGCCAGUCGCAUCGCCGGGUAGCUAUGUUCGGAAGAGAUAACCGCUGAAAGCAUCUAAGCGGGAAACUCGCCUUAAGAUGAGACUUCCCCGGGGACUUGAUCCCCUUGAAGGGUCGUUCGAGACCAGGACGUUGAUAGGUCGGGUGUGUAAGCGCAGUAAUGCGUUCAGCUAACCGAUACUAAUUGCCCGUACGGCUUGAUCCU
RNAcentral lists this ribosomal RNA (1046 nucleotides) under Burkholderia pseudomallei 1655. Its description in RNAcentral is "bacterial LSU rRNA". It matches the Rfam family "Bacterial large subunit ribosomal RNA", at positions 1876 to 2925 of the family's 2925-position model. The record is from RNAcentral. Lineage: Bacteria; Pseudomonadati; Pseudomonadota; Betaproteobacteria; Burkholderiales; Burkholderiaceae.